RNAcentral lists this ribosomal RNA (478 nucleotides) under uncultured Desulfobulbus sp. RNAcentral describes it as "bacterial SSU rRNA". It matches the Rfam family "Bacterial small subunit ribosomal RNA", at positions 910 to 1382 of the family's 1533-position model. The record is from RNAcentral. Lineage: Bacteria; Pseudomonadati; Thermodesulfobacteriota; Desulfobulbia; Desulfobulbales; Desulfobulbaceae.
UUGACGGGGGCCCGCACAAGCGGUGGAGUAUGUGGUUUAAUUCGAUGCAACGCGAAGAACCUUACCUGGUCUUGACAUCCCGGAGACCCUUAGGAAACUAGGGGGUGCUUCCAUCUGGAAGAAUCUGGAGACAGGUGCUGCAUGGCUGUCGUCAGCUCGUGUCGUGAGAUGUUGGGUUAAGUCCCGCAACGAGCGCAACCCUUGCCUUUAGUUGCCAGCAGUUCGGCUGGGCACUCUAAAGGGACUGCCGGUGUUAAACCGGAGGAAGGUGGGGAUGACGUCAAGUCCUCAUGGCCUUUAUGACCAGGGCUACACACGUACUACAAUGGCCGAUACAAAGGGCAGCGACACUGCGAGGUGAAGCCAAUCCCGUAAAAUCGGUCUCAGUCCGGAUUGGAGUCUGCAACUCGACUCCAUGAAGUUGGAAUCGCUAGUAAUCGUGGAUCAGCAUGCCACGGUGAAUACGUUCCCGGGCCUU